CAUGGCCUUUGUGACACGUUACAAUACACGUGAGCCUGGGUGUGGUGGUCUGGCAAUGGAAUAAGUAUUGCUACGAAUGCAGGGGAAGAACCUGGAGUCACACUCAGGAAAGGAACACACUGCCUAUUCAUUUAUUUAUGCAGUAACUAACCUGUGAUGAAGAGGGCACAACUACCAGCUUUUUCCUUGUAUGACAAUCACACUUCCCUGGAGCAGCAUAUUGUCACUGGAUAAGAAUCACUUGCUCAUACUGGAGAGGCAGCCCUGGCUAGCAGCAAGAAAGCCAAGAACUCCUGGGUUCUUGUCCCUGCUCCACCAGUGACUCGCUUAAACCUCUCUGUGCUUCAGUGUCCUUGUGUGCGACAUGGGGAUAAUAAUUAGCUACUUCACAGUCAAUUCCUCUGAGGAAGUAUGGUACUGAAAUGCACAAGAAUCUUGCUUUCUGCUGCUUUCCAGAUGUCCCCAGCUGACUCUAUCUUCUAAGACACUGUAGUUGUUAAACCCAACCUUAGUUAUUGUGAAAAACUGGGCCUAAGAUUAAUACGUGACAGUAUUUUAAGCUGCAUUUUGAACUCUCAUGCUUAGUAUAUAGGAAAAAUGUUACACAUCACGUAAGAAAAAGAAAACCAAAAACCUUUGUCAGAGGAAGACAUGUCAAUGCCCACAUCCUGAAGGAGCUGCUCCACUGCUUCUACCCAUGAGAGUAAUCUGCUUAGAAUUUCAACUACCGGUGUGUGGAUCCACAAGACAGAGGGGUCAAUGCACAGAUCUUGAAGGUUACAAAUCUCUCUUUUCAAGCUACUGCUACAAUAGGAGGUCUUUAAGAAAGCCUGAAAGAGAAUUAAUAACAAACAAUCCAAACCUCACGAUUAUGCGUCAUUUGUGUCUUAACACAACAGUUAAUACAAUAAACCCUUUACAACAAAAUACACUGUAUUAUCACUACAACAA
Molecule: long non-coding RNA, 951 nt
Organism: Mauremys reevesii (Reeves's turtle)
Lineage: Eukaryota; Metazoa; Chordata; Testudines; Geoemydidae
Exons: 3
Source: RefSeq, a predicted model, not a curated record